This 253-nucleotide ribosomal RNA is filed under the name uncultured bacterium. RNAcentral describes it as "partial 16S ribosomal RNA". It matches the Rfam family "Bacterial small subunit ribosomal RNA", at positions 524 to 776 of the family's 1533-position model. The record is from RNAcentral.
UACGUAGGGCGCAAGCGUUGUCCGGAAUUAUUGGGCGUAAAGAGCUCGUAGGCGGCUUGUCACGUCGGGUGUGAAAGCCCGGGGCUUAACCCCGGGUCUGCAUUCGAUACGGGCUAGCUAGAGUGUGGUAGGGGAGAUCGGAAUUCCUGGUGUAGCGGUGAAAUGCGCAGAUAUCAGGAGGAACACCGGUGGCGAAGGCGGAUCUCUGGGCAUGAUCUGACGCUGAGGAGCGAAAGUGUGGGGAGCGAACAGG